CAUAGGUCCCUACAAACAUAAUAAGUUGCAAAUACAUCCCUACAAAGUUCAACUUUUAUACAUUGUUCUUGUAAAAAUUCUAACAUUUUCAAAUACGUCUCUCUGACUUGUUACCGUUAAAAUAUUAUUUAUUUUAUAAGUGAAAUAAUAUUCUUGUCAUUACUGCUAAAAUACUGCACCACGUGUUUACAUAUGUUAAAUAUAAAAAUAUAUAAACACCGUUCUCUAGCAGCUUAAGUUUUUAGAGUAUUACGGUUAUUUUACAUGAUAUCAAAGCAGGAAGUUCUGAGUUCGAGUCACGCCAGGCUCCUAGCAUAUUAAUUCUCUCAUUUAAUUCAAACCCAUGUCAUGGGCCGACUAAAAAAUCUUGAGCAGAGAUGUGGGGGCCGUUCUUUUAUAGUUUAAGCUUUUAACAGUUUAAGCUUUUAGAGUAUAACGAUUGUUUGAAUAUUUUUAUAUUUAA
RNAcentral lists this long non-coding RNA (463 nucleotides) under Ananas comosus (pineapple). RNAcentral's name for it is "long non-coding RNA (ACOM_LNC018820)". The record is from RNAcentral. Lineage: Eukaryota; Viridiplantae; Streptophyta; Magnoliopsida; Poales; Bromeliaceae.